Molecule: long non-coding RNA, 354 nt
Organism: Sander lucioperca (pikeperch)
Lineage: Eukaryota; Metazoa; Chordata; Actinopteri; Perciformes; Percidae
Exons: 3
Source: RefSeq, a predicted model, not a curated record
GUGGAGAAACCGACUCAAACGUUGUCCACACCUUUUGGUCCUGAUAUCUACUCAGCAUUGGUCGAUAUUUUUAAGAUAGAGAUCCCUAAGGAUCCAUUGUUUGCUUUGUUGGGAGUCACCCCUGAUGGUUUUGAACGAAGGGAUGAUAUAUACCUUCUGCAAAUCCUUCUUGCUGCAGCCAUUAAAGUGAUGGUUCAGAGUAAUUUCACCCUAGGCUGCUUUGCACUAGCCUCGUGAGACCGUCCUGAUCUGGCGAGCUCCAGUUCUCCACUUGCAGAUCAUGGAGAAAAUUUGGAGCCGUUCGCCAAAAGACCGACCAAUCAACGUUGGUUUUGAGGCGGGUUUAGGUGUGAC